GCAGUGGUGGUUCAGUGGUAAAGUUCUCACCUUCCAUGUGGGAGACUCAUGUUCGAUUCUGGCCAAUGCA
RNAcentral lists this transfer RNA (70 nucleotides) under Loxodonta africana (African savanna elephant). It matches the Rfam family "tRNA". Rfam says of the family: Transfer RNA (tRNA) molecules are approximately 80 nucleotides in length. Their secondary structure includes four short double-helical elements and three loops (D, anti-codon, and T loops). The record is from Rfam by way of RNAcentral. Lineage: Eukaryota; Metazoa; Chordata; Mammalia; Proboscidea; Elephantidae.